RNAcentral lists this transfer RNA (88 nucleotides) under Colletotrichum cereale. RNAcentral's name for it is "tRNA-Glu". It matches the Rfam family "tRNA". From Rfam's summary of the family: Transfer RNA (tRNA) molecules are approximately 80 nucleotides in length. Their secondary structure includes four short double-helical elements and three loops (D, anti-codon, and T loops). The record is from RNAcentral. Lineage: Eukaryota; Fungi; Ascomycota; Sordariomycetes; Glomerellales; Glomerellaceae.
UCCGAUAUGGUGUAGUGGCCAACAUGAUGCCCUCUCAUCUCUGUUGAGAGGUUAGGCAUAGCCCCGAGUUCGAUUCUCGGUUUCGGAA